This 579-nucleotide long non-coding RNA is filed under the name Aotus nancymaae (Ma's night monkey). Its description in RNAcentral is "lncRNA (ENSANAG00000039484.1)". Lineage: Eukaryota; Metazoa; Chordata; Mammalia; Primates; Aotidae. The record is from RNAcentral.
UUUCAGUCAGCAUGACGGGAACUUUGAUCAACAAAUACCCAUGAGCCACAACCCAUCUUUUGUGAACUAGUAGUAAGUAUCGAGGCGGGGGCGGGCUUGCAGUGCACUGAAUGCUCUUCUUUUAUCAUGAAAGCUGGUGGUUUUGUGUUAUGUUAUACAUUUUUCAGAGAUUCAGUAGGAAACUUGCACCCAGUGAAGGAUUUAUAAAGGUUAAAGAGAUAACACAAAGCUACUUUAUCUCUUCUAAAAAAAAAAAAUCAAAGGUAUAAGCUCAUCCUACACGUGUCAUUUGGGCCAGACCAAGGCUGCUCUCACGGAGAACUCAGACCACAGCUUGGGAACCAUUCAUCUACCAGAGUCACAUGACUUCAAAUGACUCCUCUAGGGACCACCUGCUGUGCUGGGGUAUCAGCUCUUCCUCUGAAUUCCCAAUCCAUUUCUUGAGAACUACUGUUUCUAAUAAGCGUUACUGUUCUAAGCACUCAAUAGUAUUCAAUAUCUUACACACUUUUAAUCUUAGACACAAGAAAAAAGUUUAUUUGUAAGGUGAGUUAACCUUUGUUUUUAAAAAAUGGGUUG